This 73-nucleotide transfer RNA is filed under the name Stegodyphus mimosarum. It matches the Rfam family "tRNA". Rfam says of the family: Transfer RNA (tRNA) molecules are approximately 80 nucleotides in length. Their secondary structure includes four short double-helical elements and three loops (D, anti-codon, and T loops). Further hydrogen bonds mediate the characteristic L-shaped molecular structure. tRNAs have two regions of fundamental functional importance: the anti-codon, which is responsible for specific mRNA codon recognition, and the 3' end, to which the tRNAs corresponding amino acid is attached (by aminoacyl-tRNA synthetases). tRNAs cope with the degeneracy of the genetic code in two manners: having more than one tRNA (with a specific anti-codon) for a particular amino acid; and 'wobble' base-pairing, i.e. permitting non-standard base-pairing at the 3rd anti-codon position. Lineage: Eukaryota; Metazoa; Arthropoda; Arachnida; Araneae; Eresidae. The record is from Rfam by way of RNAcentral.
GCCUUCGUGAUGCAGUGGUGAGCACGCUCGACGCGUAUUCAAGAGAUCCGUGGUUCGAGUCCCGGUGGGAGCA